Molecule: ribosomal RNA, 253 nt
Filed under: uncultured bacterium
Lineage: Bacteria
Description: partial 16S ribosomal RNA
Rfam family: Bacterial small subunit ribosomal RNA
Source: RNAcentral
UACGUAGGGCGCAAGCGUUGUCCGGAAUUAUUGGGCGUAAAGAGCUCGUAGGCGGCUUGUCACGUCGAUUGUGAAAGCCCGAGGCUUAACCUCGGGUCUGCAGUCGAUACGGGCUAGCUAGAGUGUGGUAGGGGAGAUCGGAAUUCCUGGUGUAGCGGUGAAAUGGGCAGAUAUCAGGAGGAACACCGGUGGCGAAGGCGGAUCUCUGGGCCAUUACUGACGCUGAGGAGCGAAAGCGUGGGGAGCAAACAGG